Pristionchus pacificus is the source of this 61-nucleotide non-coding RNA. The record is from Rfam. Lineage: Eukaryota; Metazoa; Nematoda; Chromadorea; Rhabditida; Neodiplogasteridae.
UCUUCAUUUCCCACACUAACUCACCGGUCAGAAAGGCGAGAGAGCGUGUGAAAUAAAGAGA